RNAcentral lists this transfer RNA (71 nucleotides) under Rhynencina spilogaster. RNAcentral describes it as "tRNA-Leu". Lineage: Eukaryota; Metazoa; Arthropoda; Insecta; Diptera; Tephritidae. The record is from RNAcentral.
AUAAAAUUCAAUAUAAAAUAAUUAUAUUAAUUAUAAAUAUUAUUUAAAUUCAUUAGAUGACUGAAAGCAAG